AAAAAUGUAGACUGGAAUUUUGAAUAGAAAAACUGGAUUUUGACAAUCAAAAUUUCAGACUUGAGGGAGAGAGUUAAGGAUCAAGGCUGAGGUUUUUCUAUCUAAAAAAACUUCAGAUAGAGAGUGACAUUAAGGCUAAGGUUUUCUGCCGAAUUUUUAGAAUAUAGAGUGUCUGGUAGAGCUUUCUUUCAAGCUUCAGCUUGUUUGUUUUCUUGGAAUAUUCACAAGCAAAAAUACCACUUUCCUUGCACCUACCUCACUUUCACUUUAACUGUGAGUGCAUCUUGUGUACUAGUGGACUUUUGGUGUGAAGUUCUUAGGAUUUCUGUUUGUAUUUGCC
Molecule: long non-coding RNA, 340 nt
Filed under: Nicotiana benthamiana
Lineage: Eukaryota; Viridiplantae; Streptophyta; Magnoliopsida; Solanales; Solanaceae
Description: long non-coding RNA (NBEN_LNC019559)
Source: RNAcentral